RNAcentral lists this ribosomal RNA (591 nucleotides) under uncultured bacterium. Its description in RNAcentral is "bacterial SSU rRNA". It matches the Rfam family "Bacterial small subunit ribosomal RNA", at positions 329 to 915 of the family's 1533-position model. The record is from RNAcentral.
CAGGUCACUCCUACGGGAGGCAGCAGCAACGAAUCUUCCCCAAUGCCGGAAACGGUGAGGGAGCGACGCCGCGUGAAGGACGAAGUACUUCGGUAUGUAAACUUCUGUAAGGGACAUGAAAGGUUAGCGCCUAACACGCGCAAAAUUUGAUCUGUCCCCUAAAAGGGGCGGCUAACUCUGUGCCAGCAGCCGCGGUAAUACAGAGGCCCCGAGCGUUACUGAGAAUCACUGGGUUUAAAGGGUGCGUAGGUGGUCCGUUAAGUUCGUUGUGAAAGCCCUGGGCUCAACCCAGGAACUGCUUCGAAUACUGGCGGACUUGAGGCUAGUAGGGGUUACUGGAACUGACGGUGGAGCGGUGAAAUGCGUAGAUAUCGUCAGGAACGCCAAUGGUGAAGACAGGUAACUGGGCUAGUUCUGACACUGAGGCACGAAAGCGUGGGGAGCGAACGGGAUUAGAUACCCCGGUAGUCCACGCCCUAAACGAUGCAGACUAGACUGCAGCGGGUUACACCCCGUUGCGGUCGGAGCGAAAUUGUUAAGUCUGCCACCUGGGAAGUACGGUCGCAAGGCUAAAACUCAAAGGAAUUGACG